This 163-nucleotide ribosomal RNA is filed under the name Clostridioides difficile. RNAcentral describes it as "partial 16S ribosomal RNA". It matches the Rfam family "Bacterial small subunit ribosomal RNA", at positions 1380 to 1533 of the family's 1533-position model. The record is from RNAcentral. Lineage: Bacteria; Bacillati; Bacillota; Clostridia; Peptostreptococcales; Peptostreptococcaceae.
CUUGUACACACCGCCCGUCACACCACGGGAGUUGGAGACGCCCGAAGCCGAUUAUCUAACCUUUUGGAAGAAGUCGUCGAAGGUGGAAUCAAUAACUGGGGGGAAGUCGUAACAAGGUAGCCGUAUCGGAAGGUGCGGCUGGAUCACCUCCUUUCUAAGGAGA